Molecule: non-coding RNA, 96 nt
Filed under: Candidatus Methylopumilus planktonicus
Lineage: Bacteria; Pseudomonadati; Pseudomonadota; Betaproteobacteria; Nitrosomonadales; Methylophilaceae
Also listed under: 1 other name
Description: TPP riboswitch aptamer (THI element)
Rfam family: TPP riboswitch aptamer (THI element)
About the family: Vitamin B(1) in its active form thiamin pyrophosphate (TPP) is an essential coenzyme that is synthesised by coupling of pyrimidine and thiazole moieties in bacteria. The previously detected thiamin-regulatory element, thi box was extended, resulting in a new, highly conserved RNA secondary structure, the THI element, which is widely distributed in eubacteria and also occurs in some archaea.
Source: Rfam by way of RNAcentral
AUGGGGUGCUAGGGGUCCGCUUUACAAGGUGGUGAGAAAAACCCUUUGAACCUGAUGCGGGUAAUGCCGCCGUAGGGAAUGCAGUCCUCUAAAAGA